UAAGUAGUUUGCAGGCAAGCAGAGGUGGAACCGAGCUGGGACAGACACGGCUUUGGUUUCAGGGCCCUCCCUGCCUGCUGAUAACAGAGAAACAACAGAUCAACUCCCAGAGGCUGGUUCACCUGGCAGCCAGGUAGGAGGGCGGGUCUGGGGGCAGGAGCAGAGCAGAGCAUUGCUGGACAAAGGCAGGAGAGGGCUCCCUGUCACCCACGGGGACAACAGUGGCAACCAAAAAAGAACCAAAGCAGAAAGGACUGCACCCCUUGGAGCCCUGGCCUCUCCUGCCCAAGCACUCAGGAGCACAGGGAAGGAGGCAGGCAGGCAACUCAGCCAGCAGCACCCACAGGGAGUGAGGAUGAGGAGCAGGGGUGAAGCCAAGGAGAGCAGCUUCCCAAGAGACUCUUUCUCUAAAGGCAGUGGGGCACAGACUGGAUUCUCACAUUUCCCCUGCUCUGUUCACUCACUACAGAAAGAGUUUGGACAAACACCUCCCUGUGCUCGAUGUGGCAGCCAGGGAACCCCAGAAAACAGGGAUUGGGAGUGGGAGAGAAGCACAGACACACAUGGAAACAGGACUGGAUGUCCUGGUGAUGGCAGAGGCAUGGACUCCCUGCCAUGGAACAACACCAUCACCAGUUCAAGUUCACUUCCCGCUUCCUCUGUGUGCCCUCACUCAUGAACUCAGGAUCACAUCUCCUGCUUUGAGGAGAAACAAACCCCAAGACACCUGGAGAAGGUGGAUAAUGUGCAGGGCACCCAUGGACACACAUAAGCAAAGACUUCUUGCAGUCCCUCCUCCUCCUCCCAGUCUCCUCAAAUCUUUCCAACCCAGGAUCUUACAAGUCAUCCCAUCUCAUUAGUGCUUGGAAUGAAGACUGAGGCAGGAACAUUUUCCAAAAAUAAAAUUUGGGUGUAUUUA
This is a long non-coding RNA of Pseudopipra pipra, 919 nucleotides long. RefSeq lists it as uncharacterized. The transcript has 2 exons. The record is from RefSeq and is a predicted model, not a curated record. NCBI's taxonomy places the organism in Eukaryota, Metazoa, Chordata, Aves, Passeriformes, Pipridae.